RNAcentral lists this long non-coding RNA (2789 nucleotides) under Equus caballus (horse). RNAcentral describes it as "lncRNA (ENSECAG00000029164.3)". Lineage: Eukaryota; Metazoa; Chordata; Mammalia; Perissodactyla; Equidae. The record is from RNAcentral.
CCCUGGACCACAUUAUUCAUGUGUGUUGUGGGGGAGACCCUGCCAUGGCUCAACGUCACCCAGACUCAGCCUGCUGAGAGCAGCCCACCAAGGCUGACUCUCUGUAUUCUGGCCCUUCACCCCCAGGUUUGUCCACCAGUUCUUAGAUCCGGGCACAUACGUGUUUCGAGACAACGCACUUCCCGAGAGCGUUGUGGUGGUGUCGGUGAAGGAGAAGGGGAUAGCCUGCGGCCCUGGCCUGUCCUCUGUGCAGCCCUCCUCCCCGUACCAGCUCUCCAGGCAUGGCAUCGUCAGGCACAGGCUGCCAACCCUGGGCCCAGACUGGGCCGUGAUCACAGGUACUGACCCCAGACCAGAGUAGCCAGGACCUGGGGUUGGUGCCAGGAGUGUGGCACAGCAGAACCCCCAGCCCCAUCUGUGACUCUGGGUACAGCCCCAAAGACUUCAGGUGUGCACAAGGACAAGCUUGCCCUUGAACUGGGGCUUCAUUUGCCAGACAAAGAAAACUGAAUUUCCUCCACUAGGGUCUCCUUUCUCACCCUCCCUUCUCCUCUACCUCAGUCCUGGGAGCUUCCCUGGGGAGCGAGUCCCUGCGCGGUGAGUGAGUUGCACGGUAGAGUACCAGGAUCGCAGGGGUGCCUCCUGUAACCUCCUCUCUGGGUUUUCUCAUCUUGUUUCCUUCUUGUCUUCAUGAGUCAGCAGUCUGCACUGAGCCCUCCGGCUGAGCCCAGAGCAUGGGGCAUUCAUGGCCCCCACCCAGGUGGGACAGAGAACACUGCCCUGCAGGGGCCAGGUGCUAAGCCACCUGGGCACAGGGCAGCCAGCAAGCCACAUGAAGCACAGGGCAGUGCUGGGACCUGCCGGGAAGGCCAGCAGCAAUGUCCUGGGAGGGGUCUUACAUGGUGGGGUGUGGGGAGAGGAGCAUUCCCAGGAGGACACCUGACAUCACAAAGCCCCAGAGGCAGGAAUGAGGUUGAUCUACAGGGAGCUAUGAGGAGUUAAAGCCUGAAGGCAGCAAGACAGAGAGACCAGGGCCAAGGGGCAAAUGCAAAACGCUGCUCUCCGGGCCAGCGCAGCCUGGGGAGGUUCUGAGUGGUCAUCAUGUGGCCCUUCCGCUCUCCCCGCAACUUUCAGGGGUGCUGCUGGCUGUCGGCUUGGCAACUGCGCUGCUGACAGGCCUGGGCCUUGUGCUGAGCCCCCCGCUGGCCCAGACCUGCCCAGUCAGAGCUUGGAGACUCCGGGGGAGGGGCCUCAGGGAGCCUCACGUGCCUGCUGACUGCGUGCCUCUCGGGGACAGCCUUACCGUCCGUGAAGACCUCGGUCCUCAGGGCUCUGGGGAAGGAGCCAGCUGCAGGCAGAGAGCCGUUCCCCGGGACACAGGGGAGCCACACCCUGUGAACACCCUAGAGGACUUCAGCGUCCGCACACUCUAUGACAAGCUUGAGGACCAGAGCCUGCACUUGGUGGCCCAGCUGAGCAAGCACAGGAGCGACGCACUGGCCUUCUACAGGGGCGCCAGCCAGCAACUCCAGGGGCUCAAGGACUUUCUGCAGGGCGUCAGCAUGACCGAGCGGCAAGAUCUGGGCAGAGGUGGAGACCUGGAGAUGGGAGCCAAAGCCACUGCCAGGACAGACACUGGGCAGAGAGAGGAAUGGUGCAGUGGUCACACUGCAGCUUCUCCAAGGGUGCGCUGGCAGCAUCCUCUAGCCUUCCAGAACCCAGCCCCAGGGAAGAAGAGUCUGGGAACAGGUCAGACAGGCGGCACCCCCAGCAUGUCUCCACUGGGCUUUCAGUCGAAGCUCGACAGAAUGAUUGCGGCCCUGGCAUCUGCACUUUCUCACGCACGUGGGCAACCAGCCAGGGCCCACAGGAAGGCCUCCGCUCAGGGGGGUGAACAGCCUCUUCCCUCCUGUCAACAAGACCCUCAACUGGUGAGUGACACGCUCCUGAAGCCCCGGCCUCAGCCCUCGGAUGAGGAGCAUCAAAGUGCAAGCCCCCAGAAGACCCCAGGACCUGGACGGCUCCGUCAGGGUGAUGCCAAAGGAGGGGACACUGAGAGCCCAGUUUCCGGACACAGGCACGGAGCCUUUCCUGAGCUGCAGAGAAAGAUAUGGCAGGUGGAAGACAUCUUGGACGAACUGAAUAAAGAGUUCUUCCAGCUCACUGCUCAAGCCCUAGAGCUCCAGAAAGAAGAGCACCAGCCAGACCACCUGCCCCCAAGGAAACACAGUACAUUUGCGGUGGUUCCCAGCAUCUUCCCUCAUGCAGAGCAGGAAGACAGACCUAACCCAGCAGAGGCAGGCGGCCCAGACAGAAAGAGUGUGGGAACCUGGGCCCUGAAGAGCGAGCAGGCCCUGAUCCUGGCGGUGAGGAGAGCCUGCCUGGCUCAGAGGAUCGAAGGCCUGGACUGGGAGCUGUCCCUGCUCCUCCAGGUGGCAGAGGGCAGCACGUGUGCAGGAUGGAGCCAGCCCAGCCUGGGGAGACGCUGAGUCACCCAGGGUGCUGCGGCGGUCAUCUGUGGCAGUGCCUUCUCCACAAAGAACAUGGCCAGGUUACUCUGCGCACUCCAGGCAGGAAGACGUGGGCGUCGCAGGGGCCGCCCUGGCUGGGAAUGUGAGCUCGGUUAUGGCAUGCUCCUAUCUGGUAACACCCAGGUUUCUUUCAGAGCCUGGACCUCGGCUUGUGCUGAUUGCUAUCUGUGAUCCUUUGGGGUGAGGGAAAAUAAAGUCACACAGGUUGAGAAUAUCAACGUGUGUUCCCAUCGCUGAGUCCAUCCCUCAAUCCUCUCA